RNAcentral lists this ribosomal RNA (465 nucleotides) under Vreelandella stevensii. Its description in RNAcentral is "partial 16S ribosomal RNA". It matches the Rfam family "Bacterial small subunit ribosomal RNA", at positions 338 to 795 of the family's 1533-position model. Lineage: Bacteria; Pseudomonadati; Pseudomonadota; Gammaproteobacteria; Oceanospirillales; Halomonadaceae. The record is from RNAcentral.
CCUACGGGUGGCAGCAGUGGGGAAUAUUGGACAAUGGGCGAAAGCCUGAUCCAGCCAUGCCGCGUGUGUGAAGAAGGCCUUCGGGUUGUAAAGCACUUUCAGUGGGGAAGAAAGCCUUGGGGCUAAUACCCUCGAGGAAGGACAUCACCCACAGAAGAAGCACCGGCUAACUCCGUGCCAGCAGCCGCGGUAAUACGGAGGGUGCGAGCGUUAAUCGGAAUUACUGGGCGUAAAGCGCGCGUAGGCGGUCUGAUAAGCCGGUUGUGAAAGCCCCGGGCUCAACCUGGGAACGGCAUCCGGAACUGGCAGGCUAGAGUGCAGGAGAGGAAGGUAGAAUUCCCGGUGUAGCGGUGAAAUGCGUAGAGAUCGGGAGGAAUACCAGUGGCGAAGGCGGCCUUCUGGACUGACACUGACGCUGAGGUGCGAAAGCGUGGGUAGCAAACAGGAUUAGAUACCCUGGUAGUC